GAUGAACGCUAGCGGCAGGCUUAAUACAUGCAAGUCGUGGGGCAGCAGGUUUGUAGCAAUACAGAUGCUGGCGACCGGCAAACGGGUGCGGAACACGUACAGAACCUUCCUUUGAGCGGGGAAUAGCCCAGAGAAAUUGGAUUAAUACCCCAUAGUAUAAUGAAGUGGCAUCACUUUAUUAUUAAAGAUUUAUCACUCGAAGAUGGCUGUGCGGCUGAUUAGGUAGUUGGCGGGGUAAAGGCCCACCAAGCCUGCGAUCAGUAAACUGGUGUGAGAGCACGACCAGUCACACGGGCACUGAGACACGGGCCCGACUCCUACGGGAGGCAGCAGUAAGGAAUAUUGGUCAAUGGAGGCAAACUCUGAACCAAGCCAUGCCGCCGUGGAGGAUGAA
RNAcentral lists this ribosomal RNA (394 nucleotides) under uncultured bacterium. RNAcentral describes it as "bacterial SSU rRNA". It matches the Rfam family "Bacterial small subunit ribosomal RNA", at positions 28 to 412 of the family's 1533-position model. The record is from RNAcentral.